Vicugna pacos (alpaca) is the source of this 103-nucleotide small nuclear RNA. NCBI's taxonomy places the organism in Eukaryota, Metazoa, Chordata, Mammalia, Artiodactyla, Camelidae. The record is from Ensembl.
GUGCUCGCUGCGGCAGCUCAUGCACUAAAACUGGAACGAUACAGAGAGGGUUAGCGUGGCCCCUGCGGAUGGCACCGCAAUUCGUGAAGCGUUCCUAUUUUUA